AGUGUUAUGUUCGAGAUAAAAGAAAUUAAAUUGUAAAUUUAUAUAGGAAAAAUUGAUUUUUCUAACAUUA
This 70-nucleotide transfer RNA is filed under the name Acropyga donisthorpei. RNAcentral describes it as "tRNA-Tyr". Lineage: Eukaryota; Metazoa; Arthropoda; Insecta; Hymenoptera; Formicidae. The record is from RNAcentral.